GCCUUCAAAGACAAAGCCUUAAGUCUUACGCCGAGCUUUUCCAACUUUGCAGAAAGCGCACAGUGUAUACUUUAAACAUGUGAAAAGACUCACUGGGUCUCUUCCCUACAUACCACUUAAAGAAACGUUUUUCAAUUCAAAAAGCUUACAUUUUCAAACACUGAGAAAUUUUAUAUCUGCUCAAGUCAAUGUUAUGCCCAUUAUAAAGACUCAAGUUGUACAGGGCUUUAAGGAACUCUGACAUAAAGGCCUUUAGCCAUGAUCCAGAGUGAGAGAGGACUAUGAUGUCGAUUUGUCUGUCACUCUUCCUUUAUGGUCAUCAUGUGUCUCUCUGAAAACCAAAUAAGGCAUUCCGAGGGCUGUGGCAGAGAU
This is a long non-coding RNA of Hyaena hyaena (striped hyena), 372 nucleotides long. RefSeq lists it as uncharacterized. The transcript is spliced from 3 exons. NCBI's taxonomy places the organism in Eukaryota, Metazoa, Chordata, Mammalia, Carnivora, Hyaenidae. The record is from RefSeq and is a predicted model, not a curated record.